This 232-nucleotide long non-coding RNA is filed under the name Phoenix dactylifera (date palm). Its description in RNAcentral is "long non-coding RNA (PDAC_LNC016843)". The record is from RNAcentral. Lineage: Eukaryota; Viridiplantae; Streptophyta; Magnoliopsida; Arecales; Arecaceae.
ACCGGAUAGGGAGCAAAUAGAGUAUAGAGCAUAAGAAAGUAAAAAUAAAAGAUAAAGUAAAUGAAAGUAUAUAAGAAGAAUCAAGUCAAAUUUUUAAUCACUUGAAAACACACUUUAAGGAUGAAAUCAGUGCAAGCUUAUAUUUAAAUAGAGGGAGUUUAUUUGAAAAGAAUUGAUUUUGAUCAUUGACAUGCUUGUUCUUAAUAUUUUAAUGCAUGACUUAACACAUAAU